GCGCUCGUAGCUCAGCCGGAUAGAGCACCGGUUUCCUAAACCGGGGGUCGCAGGUUCGAAUCCUGCCGGGCGCA
Molecule: transfer RNA, 74 nt
Filed under: Phycisphaerae bacterium
Lineage: Bacteria; Pseudomonadati; Planctomycetota; Phycisphaerae
Description: tRNA-Arg
Rfam family: tRNA
About the family: Transfer RNA (tRNA) molecules are approximately 80 nucleotides in length. Their secondary structure includes four short double-helical elements and three loops (D, anti-codon, and T loops).
Source: RNAcentral